Long non-coding RNA from Girardinichthys multiradiatus, 3236 nucleotides. RefSeq lists it as uncharacterized. The record is from RefSeq and is a predicted model, not a curated record. The transcript is spliced from 2 exons. NCBI's taxonomy places the organism in Eukaryota, Metazoa, Chordata, Actinopteri, Cyprinodontiformes, Goodeidae.
CAAUGCUGAGGCAUUAUAGAGCCGAACACUCAGCCUCGUGCCAUCAAUCAAGGUCAGCAUAACAUAGAUAUACAUGCAGAAUUAGAAAGAAUGACAGUUAAAUUGAAGUUUUCUUUAUUUAUUGUAGGAUCCAGGAAGGAAGAGCUUGAUGAACCUCUUGUGGACUUCAUAGUGAAGGACUCCCAGCCUUUCAGUGUGUUGGAUGAUCCUGGAUUCAGGGCAUUUGUGGCAAAACUAGAUCCUACAUACACCAUUCCAAGCAGGAAUACAGUUAAGACCAUGGUGGAGAAGAGGUAUGUGGAGGAAAAGGCAAAGGAUGAGUUGCUGACCAGCGUCAGUCUCACAGCAGAUAUGUGGACAUUAACAUGGAUGCAUAUCUAGCUGUUACCUGCCAUUUGUUGGUGCUAAUGAACAGUUGGCUAUAACUCUGCUGGGACUCCAUCCUUUCCCCAGUAGCCACACAGCUGAAAAUAUUGCAGCUGUUGUGCAGGAGCUGAUAGAGGAAUGGGGAAUUGGUGGAAAGGUGAGAUGCUUGGUGAUGGCUGUAGCCUAAAACAUGAUAGCCACUGCCAGAAUACUAAAAGUUGGGCAUGCUAUCUGCAUAGCCCAUGCACUCAACCUGAUGGUGAAAAAAUCCAUUGCUGCGACUCCUGGGCUCGAUGACAUCUGCUCAAGAGUGCAGCGGAUUGUCACAUAUUUUAAAAGCAGCACCACAUCCAAGGAGCGCCUUCAGCAGGUGAAAAUGGGCCGCCCUGUAAUGAAAUUGAUGCAGGAAAUGGAAACUAGGUGGAAUAGGACUUUUGAAAUGCUACAGCACAUUUAUGAUCCGAGCGAAGCAGCAGUUCUGGCUACAGAUUUGGCUCCUUUAACCGCCAAUGAAUAUGAGGCAACGGCUCAGUGCAUCACUAUGUUCUCACAGUUUCAGGCAGUGACUGUGGAGCUCUCCCAAGAGUGAAGAGUAUCAGGCUCCAAAGUAGUUCCACUAAUGCGUAUGUUGAAGCACACACUGAAUCAAUUGCUAAGCGGAGCUACAAGUGAUAUGCCCAAACAACUGGGACAAAAUUUAAACAGAAUAAUGAUGGAGAAGCUAUCUGAUGUAGAGAUGACAAGUCUCAACUCCAUGGCUACAUUGCUGGAUUUGAGAUUUAAAACCCUUGGAUUUCAGUCCCAACAAUUGUGACACUGCGGUGAAACGCCUAAAAGGGGAAUGUGCGGCCUUAAUGAAAGAAACGGCACCAGAACCAUCUACAUCCAUAGCCAGCACCUGCUGAAGCUUCCACAGGUAAAGCACAAUGUCAUGCCACAUUGAUGUCAUUGAAAAUAUAAUAUGUAAUGUGCUUUUUCUCUUCCCACAUUUGUGGGGCUUCCUUUGGUGCAACAAUUGCUACUACCAGUAGAUUUCACCCAAGGGAAUUGAAUGAAGCUUCAGGUAGUGAACCACUUUAUGACACAAUGGUUCAAAAUGAUUCUAUGCUUGUAAAAGCCUCAUUUUGACAUCACUAGCUCUGGCUCAAGUUCUCAGCUCUGGAUUCUGCCUUAGUCUGAGCUUCCAAACCUCCAAAGAAACCUACCUGGCUCAAGUACCAGCUGACGGUUCAAAGCCUUCCUCCAUUACCUCCACAUACAGCUUCCAGAAACCUCACCAGGUAAAACGCAUAAGAAUCAAACUGCAAAGACCUCACCUGAAUUUUCUCCAGAGAACUCACCACCUCCUUGGACUGAAUCGUAGACUCAGCAGCUGCAUUAACUGUUCUCCCAGGCUCCACAUUAUUCUCCCUUGACUGAACUCAACUCCAUCUCCAUCGCCCAUUUGUCAAGAAUGGCAUCAAAUAACAUAGACCGUUCCACACCGCUUUCAAUAAAGAUCACUGUUAACUGGUUUCAGCGAUCAUUGUUCAUACUGGAACGAAGGUAUGUUUUCAUUAACUUCAGUUUAUUAAGUUACCCUCUGUAGAAACAACCCUCAGAGGCAUGGUAGAAAUACUUGCCAAUGUUCUUCUCUGCUAAGUAAUGUGGUCUAACAAGCAUUAUUUAAUAGCUUUAAUUAAAAUCACAAGUCUUUCUAUAUAAAUAAUAUUAAAAAAUUAAUCACUUGGUAUUAAGUGGCUGUUCUUAAACUUCCACCAAAUAGUAAACCAACCUGUCGCCUUUUCCUGUCUGUCCUCAUUGUUUCUCUCUUCUCUUCUUCCUGACAGCUAAAUUACAUGAAAAAUACUGUAGUCAAACCACACUCAAAAAUUGAAUUUUUUUAUUUUAAAUGGUUGGAUAUCCAUUACUGAUUGGACGCUGCAUCUGAGCAGACUUGUCAGAUACAUCACAGCAGCACCUUAGUCUUAUAUCUCAGUGCAGACAUUUAAACUCAAGUAUAUCACUCCCAGGUCCUAUGAUUUAUCUGUUUUAUGAUUCAACAUCCAUUAAAACAAAUGAUUACUGUCUAAGCAACUAAAUAACCACAAACAAGUUCCUUUAUUUUUCUUGUCAUGAUCUGUUAAAUUGUAAGGUACAGAGUUGCCAAACAUCAGUAACUUGUCAUUUUACUAGCACUAGUUUUAGCUAACCUGAACUGACCUACUGUCUUUCAACCACUUUGAAAAGCUUUUUCUUUCAUCCCUAAGUCUUUAUCCCUCUUACUCCUCCGUUUUCUGUUUUGUGCCCCCAAGAUCUUUCUUUUCUGCCUCUCCAUCUUUAGCUCCCUGUCAUCAGAUGACAAGAUGCUGUCUGGGCACACACAUAACACAUUGCCCUUUCACAAUUGCGGUUAUGUGCGGUGCACAUAACACGUUAGUAACCAUUGUCUCAUUUUUUCCCUUUCACAGGAAACCAGCCAUUUUUAUUUUUAUUUAAUUUUAAAUUAAGAUAGGACAUUUUUCAAAGUUAAAGUUUUUGUCUUUUUAACUUAACUCAGAGUCUGACCUCUUCUGCAGCAGAAGAAAAUGAGAGAGAAAUUGCACCAUGCUCCACAAAGUCCUUCUGUAGUUGCUGCCUUUAAUGAUCUUGGCUCUAUGAACUGUGUACUUUGUAAAAGUACAUGUAGGGUUUGAGGUGCGCAGGUUACAAGCGUGCAAAAUUGGAGAAUUGGGACAGUAGGGGUUACGUCAUCAACUUGCAACUCUGCACCCUCAGCUGCAAUAUCAAAAAUGUCGGAACCCGACAAUAUAUUUUGUCAGCUUGCUGUCUGAACUUUAAGCAGUUCUUAUUAUUUUGAUUUGAUGGUUGUGAUUGGUAGUAUUUGAUUG